Molecule: ribosomal RNA, 939 nt
Filed under: uncultured eukaryote
Lineage: Eukaryota
Description: bacterial SSU rRNA
Rfam family: Eukaryotic small subunit ribosomal RNA
Source: RNAcentral
AUGAUUUAGCCUUGCAUGUCUAAGUAUCGUGAUUAUAGUGCAAAACUGCGAAUGGCUCAUUAUAACUGUUGUAAUUUGAUUGAUUUGACUUUUAAAUGGAUAUCCCUGGUACAUCCAGGGCUAAUACAUGCCUGAACGGAUUUUAUCCGUGCUUUGAGAACUUUAAAAACACGAGUUUGUGAAUGUGUCUCACCAAGUAAAUCAUUUUGAUAAAUCAAAGAAGCUUCUGACCCAUCAGCUUUGAUGGUAGUGUAUUGGAAUACCAUGGCUUCUACGGGUGACGAGGAAUUAGGGUUCGAUUUCGGAAAGGGAGCUUGAGAAAUGGCUACCACAUCUNAGGGAGGCAGCAGGCGCGCAAAUUACCCAAUCCUGACCAAGGGAGGUAGAGACGAGCAGUAGCAAUGAGAAGCCUUUGGUUUCUCAAUUGGAAUGGGUGUGUGUUAAAUCUUCACACGAGUAACCAUUGGAGGGAAAGUCUGAUGCCAGCAGCCGCGGUAAUUCCAUCUCCAAUAGCGUAUUUCAAAGUUGUUGCGGUUAAAACGUUCGUUGUCGUAUUUCUGCUUCGGGUGUUUCCUUUCCAAAGGGGACAUUCGAGCAUUAGUGUGGGCGGUUUUCGUCACUUAACUGUGCCGAUGCAUAAACCCGCACUGAUUAUUUUGAGGAAAUUAGAGUGUUUUAAACAAGCAUGGUAUGAGUAUAAUAGCAUGGGACAAUGUGAAACGGGGACGAGAUUAGCGUGGCUUUUGGCUCGGCCCAAUUUUCAAAAGGAGCAUUUGGGGGUAUUCGUAUUGAGCUGCUAGAGGUGAAAUUCUUGGAUUUUUUUAAGACGAACAAAUGCGAAAGCAUUUACCAAGAAUGUUUUCAUUGAUCAAGAACGAUAGCUAGGGGAUCGAAGACGAUUAGAUACCGUCCUAGUCUUAACAGUAAACUAUGCCGACU